UAAGGACGGGGGAGUCAGGGUGGCAUGGAUCUCAUGAAAACAGAAAGAUGAUCAGUGGAGUAAGCAAGGAGACAGAGGACAAGGAUCAAGCUUUCUGUUAAAAUUGGACUACCGCAGCAGGACCAUGCAGUAAUCACGCCCCCCAUCCCGGGCCCCAUCUACCCACUCCAGCUUUCUUGGGCAGGUCUGGCACUCCAAGCAAUCUCCACUUCCAUGCUAAGGAUACAAGGUGGCUGGUGAAUUUCUUGAGAGUUGACUGCUGGAAAUAUUGGGAGACGCCACAUCUUGACCCUGUUGAGAACUGCAACUUCUCCCUACAACCCUCUCCUCAACAGGCCAUCAGCUCCACCCCAGGAGAAGCCUGCCUUGGUUCCUGAUCUGAUCACCACGGUCUGAGAAGUAUACAUCUGUGGGACUCAAAGCCUAAGGCUUGAGACUUUUGAUCUGACACUUGAACUUAGCAUGCAGAGAGAUGUCUGGUAUGAGCCUGUCAUG
Non-coding RNA from Urocitellus parryii (Arctic ground squirrel), 495 nucleotides. The record is from RefSeq and is a predicted model, not a curated record. Lineage: Eukaryota; Metazoa; Chordata; Mammalia; Rodentia; Sciuridae.